AAUUUUUAUAGCAAGCAAGCUGAAAGUUCAUAUCACUUUAAAGGAAAACACAGUUUGCGAAUUUCAAUAUUUAUUAGCAUUUUUCAACAUAGUUGAUAAUGAGAACGAGGAGACAACAUUUAUAGUGAACUUUUGAACGAUUUGUUUUUCAACUUUAAUAUAACACUGCAUUUCUCUCGAAUACCUCACUGUAAGGCACAUAUCGAUUAAGCCAUCGGAUAGUUACCCAACAGUGCUACCAGAACUUCUAACCGAAACUCUUGUGUACGUGUGAUCGUUCAUCCCUUUCUUAUGCAAACGACUUAUUAGUUGCACGCGUGUCUGCGUUAGUUUGCGCGCUUUUGGAAACUGUGAUCAAGAAAAGCUCAAUAAAAGAUAGUCAAGGAAAAAUAUUUUACACGUAUCUCAAAAUAUAGGAACCAUAACUUUGUCGUUCGACCGUUGCACCAUUAAGCACUUUGAAUUCGGCCUAUAAUGUGCAGCCUACUCAGAUGGAUGUCGAUUAGACUCUGAUGUGAAAUGGUGGGACCGUACUUCAACUUAGGUGACAAUGACCGAUUGAAAAAUUUAACGAAUUUAUAAUCAUUCUAGAUCUCCUAAACUGCUCAGAAUCAUCACUGUAUGGUUAUUUGUGGUUAAUUGUUAGCCCGCGCUGUAGAGUGUAAGCUAACUCGAUAAAAUUGUGUGAAUUUUUUUAAUCUUUCGUCCGUACUAGCCCCGUUUGAAUAAACACAAUGCUUAUAGUUUUCGAAUAUCAUGCCCCUACAUGAAUGAGCAAAAAAUUUUGAAUUGUUUGGUGAUGAUCAGAUAAGCAAUAACGACUUUUCUGCUGCAACGAGAGUGAUACCAACCCUUUUUCUUUAAACCGUUUUUUUAUUCGCUUCCAGGCUGUUUUUAAGUCCCGAUAGAGCUACCUGAGUGUAUCGUUCAAUUAGAUUUUACUCAGCAAAGAAGUCGAUAUAAUUUCUGCUUUACUGCUGAAGAUCAGACCUAUGGUACACCUACAUCUACAUUUGAGAACAGUUUGUCAUAUUUUGCAAAAAAAAGAAAAAACUGUUAAGGCAACCACUUCAAAAGCUAGUGCAUUGAGCGAUUUUAGGUUAAUAACCACAUCUUAAAUUAAGUUAUCUCAUGGUGGGGUUUUGAUGAUAAAGUAACUUAUUCUAACCUUACCUACCGCUUGCUUAAAGACGCUGGCGCGAAAGUACAUUCUCUGUUUCUAUAGAUUUACACCACUACAGUCCAAGGCACACCUACGCGAAUUGUCAAUAUUAUUGACAUCAUAAAUGGUUUGUUUUCACAAAAGUAUAAUAUUUCCUGUGUAAUAUAAGUAUGCAACUUAGUAUUUCACUCGCGCUACUUUACUUUAUAAUUUUUUUUCGAAUUCGAACUGUAACGUACCAUAAAAAUUUAAUAAUUUAGUUUUUAUAAGGAGUCAAAGUCGGAACUUUAAACAAAUAAAAACUUUAUAUUUCAAACAUAUUGAACCGCCUUUAAAACUUUAUAGCAUCUGACAUAUAAGAUUCCCUUUUUAGUAGCUUACAUACAAUAAAAAAUAAUGAUGUUUUCAAAAAGUGUUCAAUUUCGAAAUCGAAGGCAAAUAUUUCGGUCUGGGAGGCUAACUCAAAUAAACGGAGAAAUUAUACUUAGGACUCAAUGGCUCGAGAAAAAAUUAGCUUGUUCCAACAUACAGAAAAAAGUUCCAAUUUGACGUACAACUACAACGUAAUAACAACAAAGUAUCUUCUUUAUAAAGUAUUGAACUUUCCUUGGAUUGAGAAUGAAACGGCUUUUGUCUUCGAUUUGUAUGGAUUCAUGAGUUUAUUCAAAGAAACAGAAUUACACUAAGUAACUUUACAAAAGUACAUUAUAAAGUAGACACAUUAGGCACAUUAACCUUACAAAAGUAUGCAAAUAAUAAUUAAGCGUAGCAAUACAUAUCUACUCGUAUGUGAAUGUUAUAUGUUUGUGUUGUAUAAAAGAGAAUUUCUUUUUAUUUUUUGUUUUGAAUGAAAAUUACGCGAUAUACAUACAUAUUUUGAACAAAGAAUAUACAAACAAAAUUUGACUACCAGUAACCCUUGCAAAAGGAGAAUAAUAUAAUAUAGUAUAUAUAAACGUAUAUAUGUAUGUAUAUAAACUAUUGCCUUUUACGUGUUUGUGAAAAAUACAAAUUCCGAAAAUAUAUUUGCAAAGUAAAACCAAAAACUACCGUUAACGCACGUCAUAUGAAACGAAAAGCAAAAAAUGCAACAAAAACUAAUGAGUUAUAAUUAAUAAUUUCGUAAAAUUUCUUGCUAAAUAACAGUUAAGUUUUACAUUACAUUCACUUUGAUUUAAUAAAAAUACAAAGAAUAAACGAACAAUAGCGCUUAAGCAUUAAUUUAUCUACAAAUGUAAAAUCCAUUCUUGCUAUCUACAUACAUAUUUAUAUAUACAUACUCGCACUUAUGCUUUUACUAUACACAUACGCACGCACUGUCUGUCAUGUAUUGUAGUAUAUAAAUACAUAUAUAUAUGUACAACGAGUAUAUUGUUUAAUAGGACGCAGCUAACUAAGUAGAGAUAUUUGUAAAUAUUUAUAGGCAUAUACAUACAUAUUUAUAAAUAUAGUUUGUUCUUCAGUUACUUAUUUGUCCACAAAAUAGAAUACCUCCCC
Molecule: long non-coding RNA, 2659 nt
Organism: Bactrocera oleae (olive fruit fly)
Lineage: Eukaryota; Metazoa; Arthropoda; Insecta; Diptera; Tephritidae
Source: RefSeq, a predicted model, not a curated record